Molecule: ribosomal RNA, 960 nt
Filed under: uncultured organism
Description: bacterial SSU rRNA
Rfam family: Bacterial small subunit ribosomal RNA
Source: RNAcentral
UGACGGUACCCUACUAGAAAGGAGCCGCUAACUUCGUGCCAGAAGCGUCGGUAAUACGGGGGCUCCAAGCGUUAUCCGGUGUUAUUGGGCGUAAAGAGUCGUGUAGGUGGUUGGGUAAGUUAUCUUUCAAAUAUCUUUGCUUAACAAAGAGGAGGGGGAUAAUACUGCUCGACUAGAAUUUUCUCAAGGGAGAUCGGAACUGAGGGAGGAGUAGUGAAAUGCGUUGAUACCCUCGGGAACACCAGUGGCGUAGGCGGAUCUCUGGGAGAAGAUUGACACUGAGACACGAAAGCUAGGGGAGCGAAGCAGAUUAGAGACCUGCGUAGUCCUAGCCGUAAACGCAUGCUUGCUAGCUGCAUGAAUCUACCUUCGGGUGGUAUCGUGUGGCGAAGGUAACCCGUUAAGCAAGCCGCCUGGAAAGUACGGCCGCAAGGCUGAAAUUCAAAGGAAUUGGCGGGGAGGCACACAACCAGUGGAACAUGUGGUUUAAUUCGAGACUAACCGAAGAACCUCACCAGGGUUUGACAUGUAGCUGCACGUCUUAAGAAUUAAGACUCUCUUGAAGGUGCUACACAGGUGCUGCAUGGCUGUCGUCAGCUCGUUCCGUGAGGAGUGCCCUUAAGUGGGACAACGAGCGCAACCCCUAUUACAUGUUAGAAAUGUCAUGUAAGACUGCCUUGCCAUUUGGCGGGGAGGAAGGAGGGGCAGACGUCAAGUCCGCAUGGUCCUUAUGCCCUGGGCUACACACAUGUUACAAUGAGUACGGCAAUGAGUCUGUCGCGAGCACGUAAGUGUAAGCUAAUCUCUUAAAUGUACUCUCAGUGGGGAUUGAGGUCUGCAACUCGACCUCAUGAACACGGAAUUGGUAGUAAUCGCGGGUCAGCUAUACCGCGGUGAAUACGUUCUUGCCUCUUGCACACACCGCCCGUCAAACCAGCAAAGUCGAUUGUAUCCGAACCU